This 459-nucleotide ribosomal RNA is filed under the name uncultured bacterium. RNAcentral describes it as "bacterial SSU rRNA". It matches the Rfam family "Bacterial small subunit ribosomal RNA", at positions 339 to 795 of the family's 1533-position model. The record is from RNAcentral.
CUACGGGAGGCAGCAGUGAGGAAUAUUGGUCAAUGGAGGCAACUCUGAACCAGCCAUGCCGCGUGAAGGAUGACGGCCCUAUGGGUUGUAAACUUCUUUUCUACGAGAAUAAACCCCAGGACGUGUCCUGGGCUGAAGGUACCGUAGGAAUAAGGAUCGGCUAACUCCGUGCCAGCAGCCGCGGUAAUACGGAGGAUCCAAGCGUUAUCCGGAUUCAUUGGGUUUAAAGGGUGCGUAGGCGGAACGGUAAGUCAAGGGUGAAAGCCAGCAGCUCAACUGUUGAACUGCCUUUGAUACUGUCGUUCUUGAAUAUGGUUGAAGUGGGCGGAAUGUGACAUGUAGCGGUGAAAUGCUUAGAUAUGUCACAGAACACCGAUCGCGAAGGCAGCUCACUAAGCCAUCAUUGACGCUGAUGCACGAAAGCAUGGGGAGCAAACAGGAUUAGAAACCCUAGUAGCC